This 441-nucleotide ribosomal RNA is filed under the name uncultured bacterium. Its description in RNAcentral is "partial 16S ribosomal RNA". It matches the Rfam family "Bacterial small subunit ribosomal RNA", at positions 338 to 795 of the family's 1533-position model. The record is from RNAcentral.
CCUACGGGAGGCAGCAGUGGGGGAUAUUGGACAAUGGGCGCAACCCUGAUGCAGCGACGCCGCGUGGGGGAAGGAGGGUUUCGGGGCGUAAAGCUCUAUCGGCAGGGAAGAAGGAGGACGGUACCUGACUAAGAUGCCCCGGCUAACUACGUGCCAGCAGCCGCGGUAAUACGCAGGGGGCAAGCGUUAUCCGGAUUUACUGGGGGUAAAGGGGGCGCAGACGGGAGCGCAAGCCAGUAGUGAAAGCCCGGGGCGCAACCCCGGGACUGCUCUUGGAACUGCGCGGCUGGAGUGCAGGAGGGGCAGGCGGAAUUCCUGGUGUAGCGGUGAAAUGUGUAGAUAUCAGGAGGAACACCGGUGGCGAAGGCGGCCUGCUGGACUGCGACUGACGUUGAGGCCCGAAAGCGUGGGGAGCAAACAGGAUUAGAUACCCGUGUAGUC